Molecule: long non-coding RNA, 918 nt
Organism: Herpailurus yagouaroundi (jaguarundi)
Lineage: Eukaryota; Metazoa; Chordata; Mammalia; Carnivora; Felidae
Exons: 3
Source: RefSeq, a predicted model, not a curated record
CUGGCUCAGAGACGGGAGACAGGCCUGGCCCAGUGAAGGCAGCCCAGCCAGCCUUGCACUUUCUGUCCCCUGCAGCCCGGGGGGGCAGCAGCGCAGUCCUACAGGAUUCCGCUCUGAUCUCAGCGUUUGGGCUCUUGGAUGGAUUGCGUGCUCUCCUGAAGAGUCCAGCUUGGCCCUUUGCAGAGAACGUCCUGGCGCCUGUGACCAUUCUGGAAGGAGCCAGCUUUGCGUUUAAUGCGAAGAGCCAGGGAGCAGCGGCAGUUGUGAGCUGGGCGUCAGAAAUCCGACGAGCCUGGUGGUUGAGGCUGGAUCCUUUCACUGUGCAGCUUGGUGACCCUGGGAAACUGGCCUGCCCUCCCUGGGCUUCCUCCACUUGCUUACAUGUAAAACGGGACGAUAGGAGCUGGGGCAUGCUGGGUUCUUCCUGAGAGCCAGGCCUGAAUUUAAUCGCUUGGCUGGAAUGAAGUGAUUUAGUUCUGACAGCAGCCCCAGGGAGUAGGGGACUAUUAUUGCCAUACCCCUUUCACGGAAGGAGAAAUGGAGGCUUAGGGUAGUUAAGGUUACUAACUUCCACGACGAGGUUACUAAGGUGACACGAUGACUAAGUGCUGGGAUCUGAGUCAGGGCAGCUUCUAACCCUGCCCUGUGUCCCCUGCCUCACAGAGGGGAUGAAGUUCAAGGUCUCCAAGGAGUGCCUGAGGCCCAGAAAGUGCUCAAAACAGCCUAUGAAAGGACCAAACCACAAAAAUAAAAAUCGCCUGGGAAAACCUCACCCAUUUCGCGGCCCGUGGGCGUUGUACAGCAGCCUGACCGGGAAGAGGUUCCUCUUUGCCUCUCUCUGGGCUGACUCAAAAGGCAGAGAUUCGGGCUAGGUUUUGGUCUUUCCAUUUUUUUUUUUUUUUUUUAAACAGCCAAGAA